RNAcentral lists this ribosomal RNA (751 nucleotides) under uncultured Halomonas sp. RNAcentral's name for it is "bacterial SSU rRNA". It matches the Rfam family "Bacterial small subunit ribosomal RNA", at positions 28 to 776 of the family's 1533-position model. Lineage: Bacteria; Pseudomonadati; Pseudomonadota; Gammaproteobacteria; Oceanospirillales; Halomonadaceae. The record is from RNAcentral.
AUUGAACGCUGGCGGCAGGCCUAACACAUGCAAGUCGAGCGGUAACAGGGGUAGCUUGCUACCCGCUGACGAGCGGCGGACGGGUGAGUAAUGCAUAGGAAUCUGCCCGAUAGUGGGGGAUAACCUGGGGAAACCCAGGCUAAUACCGCAUACGUCCUACGGGAGAAAGGGGGCUCCGGCUCCCGCUAUCGGAUGAGCCUAUGUCAGAUUAGCUGGUUGGUGAGGUAACGGCUCACCAAGGCGACGAUCCGUAGCUGGUCUGAGAGGAUGAUCAGCCACAUCGGGACUGAGACACGGCCCGAACUCCUACGGGAGGCAGCAGUGGGGAAUAUUGGACAAUGGGGGGAACCCUGAUCCAGCCAUGCCGCGUGUGUGAAGAAGGCCCUCGGGUUGUAAAGCACUUUCAGUGAGGAAGAACGCCUGGUGGUUAAUACCCAUCAGGAAAGACAUCACUCACAGAAGAAGCACCGGCUAACUCCGUGCCAGCAGCCGCGGUAAUACGGAGGGUGCGAGCGUUAAUCGGAAUUACUGGGCGUAAAGCGCGCGUAGGUGGCUUGAUAAGCCGGUUGUGAAAGCCCCGGGCUCAACCUGGGAACGGCAUCCGGAACUGUCAAGCUAGAGUGCAGGAGAGGAAGGUAGAAUUCCCGGUGUAGCGGUGAAAUGCGUAGAGAUCGGGAGGAAUACCAGUGGCGAAGGCGGCCUUCUGGACUGACACUGACACUGAGGUGCGAAAGCGUGGGUAGCAAACAGG